Molecule: ribosomal RNA, 1346 nt
Filed under: uncultured bacterium
Lineage: Bacteria
Description: bacterial SSU rRNA
Rfam family: Bacterial small subunit ribosomal RNA
Source: RNAcentral
GACGAACUUUGGCGGCGUGCUUAACACAUGCAAGUCGAACGGAAAGGCCCUGCUUUUGUGGGGUGCUCGAGUGGCGAACGGGUGAGUAACACGUGAGUAACCUGCCCUUGACUUUGGGAUAACUUCAGGAAACUGGGGCUAAUACCGGAUAGGAGCUCCUGCUGCAUGGUGGGGGUUGGAAAGUUUCGGCGGUUGGGGAUGGACUCGCGGCUUAUCAGCUUGUUGGUGGGGUAGUGGCUUACCAAGGCUUUGACGGGUAGCCGGCCUGAGAGGGUGACCGGCCACAUUGGGACUGAGAUACGGCCCAGACUCCUACGGGAGGCAGCAGUGGGGAAUAUUGCACAAUGGGCGGAAGCCUGAUGCAGCAACGCCGCGUGCGGGAUGACGGCCUUCGGGUUGUAAACCGCUUUCGCCUGUGACGAAGCGUGAGUGACGGUAAUGGGUAAAGAAGCACCGGCUAACUACGUGCCAGCAGCCGCGGUGAUACGUAGGGUGCGAGCGUUGUCCGGAUUUAUUGGGCGUAAGGGGCUCAUAGGUGGUUGAUCGCGUCGGAAGUGUAAUCUUGGGGCUUAACCCUGAGCGUGCUUUCGAUACGGGUUGACUUGAGGAAGGUAGGGGAGAAUGGAAUUCCUGGUGGAGCGGUGGAAUGCGCAGAUAUCAGGAGGAACACCAGUGGCGAAGGCGGUUCUCUGGGCCUUUCCUGACGCUGAGGAGCGAAAGCGUGGGGAGCGAACAGGCUUAGAUACCCUGGUAGUCCACGCUGUAAACGGUGGGUACUAGGUGUGGGGUCCAUUCCACGGGUUCCGUGCCGUAGCUAACGCUUUAAGUACCCCGCCUGGGGAGUACGGCCGCAAGGCUAAAACUCAAAGGAAUUGACGGGGCCCCGCACAAGCGGCGGAGCAUGCGGAUUAAUUCGAUGCAACGCGUAGAACCUUACCUGGGUUUGACAUGGAUCGGGAGUGCUCAGAGAUGGGUGUGCCUCUUUUGGGGUCGGUUCACAGGUGGUGCAUGCCUGUCGUCAGCUCGUGUCGUGAGAUGUUGGGUUAAGUCCCGCAACGAGCGCAACCCUUGUUCACUGUUGCCAGCACGUUAUGGUGGGGACUCAGUGGAGACCGCCGGGGUCAACUCGGAGGAAGGUGGGGAUGACGUCAAGUCCUCAUGCCCCUUAUGUCCAGGGCUUCACGCAUGCUACAAUGGCUGGUACAGAGAGUGGCGAGCCUGUGAGGGUGAGCGAAUCUCGGAAAGCCGGUCUCAGUUCGGAUUGGGGUCUGCAACUCGACCUCAUGAAGUCGGAGUCGCUAGUAAUCGCAGAUCAGCAACGCUGCGGUGAAUACGUUCCCGGGGCU